ACCUGUACUACACCACAUGACUGAGUUACUGUACGGACAGGUUACACCUGUACUACACCACAUGACUGAGUUACUGUACGGACAGGUUACACCUGUACUACACCACAUGACUGAGUUACUGUACGGACAGGUAACACCUGUACUACACCACAUGACUGAGUUACUGUACGGACAGGUUACACCUGUACUACACCACAUGACUGAGUUACUGUACGGACAGGUUACACCUGUACUACACCACAUGACUGAGUUACUGUAUGGACAGGUUACACCUGUACUACACCACAUGACUGAGUUACUGUACGGACAGGUUGACCUGUACUACACCACAUGACUGAGUUACUGUACGGACAGGUAACACCUGUACUACACCACAUGACUGAGUUACUGACAGGUUACACCUGUACUACACCACAUGACUGAGUUACACCUGUACUACACCACAUGACUGAGUUACUGUACGGACAGGUUACACCUGUACUACACCACAUGACUGAGUUACUGUACAGACAGGUUACACCUGUACUACACCACAUGACUGAGUUACUGUACAGACAGGUUACACCUGUACUACACCACAUGACUGAGUUACUGUACGGACAGGUUACACCUGUACUACACCACAUGACUGAGUUAAUGUACGGACAGGUUACACCUGUACUACACCACAUGACUGAGUUACUGUACGGACAGGUUACACCUGUACUACACCACAUGACUGAGUUACUGUACGGACAGGUUACACCUGUACUACACCACAUGACUGAGUUACUGUACGGACAGGUAACACCUGUAAUACACCACAUGACUGAGUUACUGUACAGACAGGUUACACCUGUACUACACCACAUGACUGAGUUACUGUACAGACAGGUUACACCUGUACUACACCACAUGACUGAGUUACUGUACGGACAGGUUACACCUAUACUACACCACAUGACUGAGUUACUGUACAGACAGGUUACACCUGUACUACACCACAUGACUGAGUUACUGUACGGACAGGUUACACCUGUACUACACCACAUGACUGAGUUACUGUACGGACAGGUUACACCUGUACUACACCACAUGACUGAGUUACUGUACGGACAGGUUACACCUGUACUACACCACAUGACUGAGUUACUGUACGGACAGGUUACACCUGUACUACACCACAUGACUGAGUUACUGUACGGAGAGGUUACACCUGUACUACACCACAUGACUGAGUUACUGUACGGACAGGUUACACCUGGACCUCUGGCCAGGUAAACACUAUAGCAAGUUAGUCCCAAAUGGCCCUCUAUUCCCUCGAAAGUGCGCUUCUGUUGACCAGAUUGCUACGGGUUAGUCCUACGGGCCCUGGUCUAAAGUAGUGUACUGUAUAGGAAAUGUAGUGCCAUUUUGGACACAUACCAUGUUCUGAGAACCACCUCGCUGACCGUUCACACUAGAUCCC
Molecule: long non-coding RNA, 1447 nt
Filed under: Salmo salar (Atlantic salmon)
Lineage: Eukaryota; Metazoa; Chordata; Actinopteri; Salmoniformes; Salmonidae
Description: lncRNA (ENSSSAG00000115768.1)
Source: RNAcentral